CGUGCCUAACACAUGCAAGUCGAACGGGGUAUAUAAGCGGAAGUUUACGGAUGGAAGGUUAUAUACUUAGUGGCGGACGGGUGAGUAACGCGUGGGCAACCUGCCCCGUGCCGGGGGAUACCGCCUGGAAACAGGCGCUAAUACCGCAUAAGCGCAUACAACCGCAUGGGUGUAUGCGGAAAGCUCCGGCGGCACGGGAUGGGCCCGCGCCCGAUUAGCCAGUUGGCGGGGUAACGGCCCACCAAAGCGACGAUCGGUAGCCGGCCUGAGAGGGCGGACGGCCACAUUGGGACUGAGACACGGCCCAAACUCCUACGGGAGGCAGCAGUGGGGAAUAUUGCACAAUGGGGGAAACCCUGAUGCAGCAACGCCGCGUGGGUGAAGGAGCGUUUCGGCGCGUAAAGCCCUGUCAGCGGGGAAGAAGAAAGACGGUACCCGACCAAGAAGCCCCGGCUAACUACGUGCCAGCAGCCGCGGUAAUACGUAGGGGGCGAGCGUUAUCCGGAAUUACUGGGUGUAAAGGGAGCGUAGACGGCGAGGUAAGCCUGAAGUGGAAGCCCGCGGCCCAACCGCGGAACUGCUUUGGGAACUGUUUUGCUGGAGUAUGGGAGGGGUAAGCGGAAUUCCUGGUGUAGCGGUGAAAUGCGUAGAUAUCAGGAGGAACACCGGUGGCGAAGGCGGCUUACUGGACCAUAACUGACGUUGAGGCUCGAAAGCGUGGGGAGCGAACAGGAUUAGAUACCCUGGUAGUCCACGCCGUAAACGAUGAUUACCAGGUGUCGGGGGUGAAAGGCGGUCCGGUGCCCGCCACGCCCGCAGCCGUAAUCCACCUGGGGAGUACGUUCGCAGGAACGAAACUCAAAGGAAUUGUCGGGGUCCCGCCCAAGCGGUGGAGCAUGUGGUUUAAUUAGUCGCAACGCGAAGAACCUUACCCGGCCUUGACAUCCCCUGGGCAGCAUAUGUAAUGAAUGUUUCCUUCGGGACCAGGGAGACAGGUGGUGCAUGGUUGUCGUCAGCUCGUGUCGUGAGAUGUUGGGUCAAGUCCCGCAACGAGCGCAACCCUUGUUACUAGUUGCCAGCAUUAAGUUGGGCACUCUAGUGAGACUGCCGGUGACAAACCGGAGGAAGGUGGGGCCGACGUCAGAUCAUCAUGCCCCUUAUGACCUGGGCUACACACGUGCUACAAUGGACGGUACAACGAGUCGCAAGCUCGCGAGAGUAAGCUAAUCUCUUAAAGCCGUUCUCCGUUCAAAAAGUAGGCUGCAACUCGCCUACACGAAGUCGGAAUCGCUAGUAAUCGCGGAUCAGCAUGCCGCG
This 1317-nucleotide ribosomal RNA is filed under the name uncultured bacterium. Its description in RNAcentral is "bacterial SSU rRNA". It matches the Rfam family "Bacterial small subunit ribosomal RNA", at positions 43 to 1361 of the family's 1533-position model. The record is from RNAcentral.